RNAcentral lists this ribosomal RNA (397 nucleotides) under uncultured bacterium. Its description in RNAcentral is "partial 16S ribosomal RNA". It matches the Rfam family "Bacterial small subunit ribosomal RNA", at positions 523 to 918 of the family's 1533-position model. The record is from RNAcentral.
AUACGUAGGUGGCGAGCGUUGUCCGGAAUUACUGGGCGUAAAGGAUGCGUAGGUGGAUACUUAAGUGGGAUGCGAAAUCCCCGGGCUCAACCCGGGAACUGCAUUCCAAACUGGGUAUCUAGAGUGCAGGAGAGGAAAGCGGGAUUCCUAGUGUAGCGGUGAAAUGGGUAGAUAUUAGGAGGAACACCAGUGGCGAAGGCGGCUUUCUGGACUGUAACUGACACUGAGGCAUGAAAGCGUGGGUAGCAAACAGGAUUAGAUACCCUGGUAGUCCACGCCGUAAACGAUGGGUACUAGGUGUAGGAGGUAUCGACCCCUUCUGUGCCGUCGUUAACACAAUAAGUACCCCGCCUGGGGAGUACGGUCGCAAGACUAAAACUUAAAGGAAUUGACGGGG